Molecule: small nuclear RNA, 103 nt
Organism: Trichosurus vulpecula (common brushtail)
Lineage: Eukaryota; Metazoa; Chordata; Mammalia; Diprotodontia; Phalangeridae
Source: RefSeq, a predicted model, not a curated record
GUGCUCACUUUGGCAGCACAUAUACUAACACUGAACAAUAUAGACAUUAGAAUAACCCCCACACAAGGAUGACUAGCAAAUUUGUAAAGUGUUACAUAUUUUA